RNAcentral lists this ribosomal RNA (360 nucleotides) under uncultured eukaryote. RNAcentral describes it as "SSU rRNA". It matches the Rfam family "Eukaryotic small subunit ribosomal RNA", at positions 567 to 990 of the family's 1831-position model. The record is from RNAcentral.
CCAGCACCUGCGGUAAUUCCAGCUCCAAUAGCGUAUAUUAAAGUUGUUGCAGUUAAAAAGCUCGUAGUUGGAUUUCUAGAUAAGUGGGUACUUGUACUUUGCUUGUCUACCAGUCUUAGACUGUUACUGUGAGAAAAUUAGAGUGUUUAAAGCAGGCUUAUGCCGUUGAAUAUAUUAGCAUGGAAUAAUAAGAUAGGACUUUGGUACUAUUUUGUUGGUUUGUGCACCAGAGUAAUGAUUAAUAGGGACAGUUGGGGCUAUUCGUAUUCCAUUGUCAGAGGUGAAAUUCUUGGAUUUCUGGAAGACGAACUACUGCGAAAGCAUUUAGUAAGGAUGUUUUCAUUAAUCAAGAACGAAAGU